GAGGGUAGAGCUCAAUGGUAGAGGGAAUGCUUAGCAUGCACCAGGUCCUGGGUUCAAUCCCCGGUACCACCA
This 72-nucleotide transfer RNA is filed under the name Camelus bactrianus (Bactrian camel). It matches the Rfam family "tRNA". From Rfam's summary of the family: Transfer RNA (tRNA) molecules are approximately 80 nucleotides in length. Their secondary structure includes four short double-helical elements and three loops (D, anti-codon, and T loops). Lineage: Eukaryota; Metazoa; Chordata; Mammalia; Artiodactyla; Camelidae. RNAcentral also lists the same sequence under 1 other name. The record is from Rfam by way of RNAcentral.